UCUAUUACAUAUAAUAAAGUAAACUCAAUGUGUACACGUGGCAACUUUUUAGAUGAAUGAAUUGUUGAUUUUGGCGGGGGUUUGGUAUUGAGAAUGAGUUCGUAUAUGGGUCUAUACAUACCCGAAUUCCUCUUGAUUCGGAUCCAUUAGAAACAAAAGAACCCCUUAUCCCUCUUUUGCAGAAACCCUAGCGUCAAAAUCUCUCAGCCAAUCUCUCAGCCAAUUCCUUCUUCUUCCCUUCAAUGCACAGCGAUCUACAAGAUGAUAAAGGCGUUUGGUUUAUGAUGUGCUUUUGAAGCAGGCAACUUUAGUUAAAGAUCAAGUUAUUGAGAAGUGAAGAAGUUUGUUCAGAGUAUGCCAAGACACUCUAUUUAGAUGAUGUUGCUUCAGUUGCACUCAUUCCAACUCCAGUUUCAGUUUCAACAAAUCCAAAGUGGCUACUGAACUCGCAUUAAAAUACAUUACACUUAGACCUUUCAGUUGGGAUCAAGAUACUGACAAAGUCAAUGGUAAUACCAACGGUUCUAGGAACAAAACCAGAAUUACUCUGACAAUUUAUGUGUUCUUUUGAACGAAGAUAGAAUCUUGAUUAUAAAAAAGAACUCCAAAUCUAAUGAAUCUGUUUGGUUUCUUGAGGUAAUAGUAUUCACAUUUAUUGAUCUUGAAAUGAUAGCGUUCGUUAGGUUUUAUUAGGUGGACACACAAUUUAGACGAGACCAAAAAAGUUUGAAACAAAAGUUGUUGCUUGGAGUGAGGGGUUAUUGGUAAUGCUGAGCGGCCCAUAGUAAUUAGUAGCCCGUGUAUGUCGGGUUUGUAAUAUGUCAAAAACGUUUUGUCAAGUGAUGGUUUGAUUUGAAUUCACUAAAUUUUAUGGUUUGCAAGUAUAUCAUGAAGAUAUGAAGAUGUUUUGAUGAUGAUACCAAGUUUAAACCACUAUAACUAAAUGAAAUUGUUCUGACUUAUUUAGAGAUGUAUGAACAAUUUAUAUAUUUUGUUUAAAAAUUAUGUGUAUUUAAUUUUCAACU
RNAcentral lists this long non-coding RNA (1025 nucleotides) under Helianthus annuus (common sunflower). Lineage: Eukaryota; Viridiplantae; Streptophyta; Magnoliopsida; Asterales; Asteraceae. The record is from RNAcentral.